This 769-nucleotide ribosomal RNA is filed under the name uncultured bacterium. RNAcentral's name for it is "bacterial SSU rRNA". It matches the Rfam family "Bacterial small subunit ribosomal RNA", at positions 46 to 834 of the family's 1533-position model. The record is from RNAcentral.
GCCUAACACAUGCAAGUUGAGCGAUAGGGUGACUGAGGAGAGAUCUGAGGUUAUUCUAUAGCAGCGGACGGGUGAGUAACGCAUGGGUGAACUGCCCACAGGAGGGGGAUAACUUUGGGAAACUGGAGCUAAUACCCCGUAAGUCGGGAGACGAAAGGUGAGAACUGCCUGUGGAUGUGCCCGUGUCCUAUUAGCUAGUUGGUGGGGUAAUGGCCCACCAAGGCGAUGAUGGGUAGCCGGCCUGAGAGGGUGUCCGGCCACACUGGAACUGAGAUACGGUCCAGACUCCUACGGGAGGCAGCAGUGGGGAAUUUUGGGCAAUGGGGGGAACCCUGACCCAGCGACGCCGCGUGAGGGAAGAAGUCCUUCGGGACGUAAACCUCUGUUGUGGAAGAAGAAGGAAGUGACGGUAUUCCACGAGGAAGCCCCGGCUAACUACGUGCCAGCAGCCGCGGUAAUACGUAGGGGGCGAGCGUUAUCCGGAAUUACUGGGCGUAAAGGGCUCGUAGGCUGUUGUGUAAGUCUGUCGUUUAAGGCUACGGCUCAACCGUAGAGAUGCGAUGGAGACUGCGCGACUAGGGUGCAGGAGAGGUAAGCGGAAUUCCCGGUGUAGCGGUGGAAUGCGUAGAUAUCGGGAGGAACACCGGUGGCGAAGGCGGCUUACUGGUCUGUAACCGACGCUGAGGAGCGAAAGCCAGGGUAGCGAACCGGAUUAGAUACCCGGGUAGUCCUGGCCGUAAACGAUGGACACUAGGUGUGGGGAGCUUUC